Molecule: non-coding RNA, 107 nt
Filed under: Palpitomonas bilix
Lineage: Eukaryota
Source: RNAcentral
CUUUCUGUUGAUAAAUAGUGGCGUGAAUGUGCAAACAUCAAAAAAAAAAGAGAAACAGCUGAAAACAGUCUUCAAAUGAAGCUGAUUUUGUGUCUUUUUUUUUUUUU